This 109-nucleotide ribosomal RNA is filed under the name Angiostrongylus vasorum (French heartworm). RNAcentral's name for it is "partial 5.8S ribosomal RNA". It matches the Rfam family "5.8S ribosomal RNA", at positions 44 to 154 of the family's 154-position model. Rfam says of the family: 5.8S ribosomal RNA (5.8S rRNA) is a component of the large subunit of the eukaryotic ribosome. It is transcribed by RNA polymerase I as part of the 45S precursor that also contains 18S and 28S rRNA. The record is from RNAcentral. Lineage: Eukaryota; Metazoa; Nematoda; Chromadorea; Rhabditida; Metastrongylidae.
CGCAGCUAGCUGUGUUAUUUACCACGAAUUGCAGACGCUUAGAGUGGUGAAAUUUUGAACGCAUAGCGUCGUUGGGUUUCCCCUUCGGCACAUCUGGUUCAGGGUUGUU